CGGGGGAGCGAUGGCACAAACCAUG
RNAcentral lists this non-coding RNA (25 nucleotides) under Cricetulus griseus (Chinese hamster). Lineage: Eukaryota; Metazoa; Chordata; Mammalia; Rodentia; Cricetidae. The record is from RNAcentral.